This is a long non-coding RNA of Drosophila kikkawai, 1035 nucleotides long. RefSeq lists it as uncharacterized. The record is from RefSeq and is a predicted model, not a curated record. NCBI's taxonomy places the organism in Eukaryota, Metazoa, Arthropoda, Insecta, Diptera, Drosophilidae.
AGUCCGCACAACAAAACACCGAUUAAUCGGACGUCUCAACAAAACUCCUCACUAACAGAUAACACAUCUCUAACAAACAAAAGUAAACAAACCAAAAAUUGACGACUUUUGCGGAAUGGUGGCAUAGAUGGAGUCGCCACGACGCUCCCGCCCAACCUGUGGUGCCUCCGGUGUGUCUAGGGGCACCACCCAUCUCCGGCGGACCGGAGUCUAAUCCAGGCGGCUCGACGGCCGGCCCAUCUCCCCAGGUAUUUAAGGCUAACAUUGGCAGAGUACAUAUUUGUAACCCAGGUAACACCUCACUUGCUCCCGGCGAGAGCGUGGCCUCAGCCAGGGAUGCGCUCGCGCCAAGGCUGCCAAGCAAAUGUUUCCGGAUAUCGCGGAGGAGAAGCGGCGCUCCGCCAACACACAACAGGCCACAACCUGGCCAAAAGAAUUUGCUACUUCCAACCUGAUAUCCCUACUGGAGCUCCAAGAGAAAUAAAAGGGGAGAGGGUUCUACUUCGAUUUUGGUCCAGCUUCUUCACCCCGAAUCGGCCCUAUUGCAGCCUUGUGUUGCACAAAUCCCGGACCCAGGGACUACAACAACGCAGAGGACAAAUUACGGCGAUACCAACUAGAAGGCACUAUUGGCGACCCGCAAAUGGCUUCGGUGGCCUGAGUGGCCAGAAAUCGUGACGACUGUUGGCGACGGCUAGCCCGAGGAAAGUAGGGCCAGUAGGACGCAGCCACGGCCACGUCGAUUCGGAGAAGAGGCAGAGCCAAUGGAUGUCCCCAAAUAUGGGUACGAAAAAACCUGCCGGUUCCGGACGGCGCUUAACGGAACGGACUCACCGGAUUCCCGUUUGGCUCGAUAGCUGGCUCCGUCAACGGCUGCUGAGAGGCUCGUUUGAAAAUUUCCCUCACUCCUCUUCAGAAUAUAUCCUCCCCAGAACGUCGGCGGCGGGUAAGAUUCUCCGUAUAAUUUCACCAAUUUUCAAUAAAAAUCGCCGUGGCCAGCGAUUGAUUCACUGCCACGCUGAAAUUAAACGUUUA